UACAGAGGUCUCAAGCGUUGUUCGGAUUCAUUGGGCGUAAAGGGUGCGUAGGAGGGCAGGUAAGUCAGUGGUGAAAUCUCCGGGCUUAACUCGGAAACUGCCGUUGAUACUAUCUGUCUUGAAUAUUGUGGAGGUGAGCGGAAUAUGUCAUGUAGCGGUGAAAUGCUUAGAUAUGACAUAGAACACCGAUUGCGAAGGCAGCUCGCUACACAUAUAUUGACUCUGAGGCACGAAAGCGUGGGGAUCAAACAGG
RNAcentral lists this ribosomal RNA (253 nucleotides) under uncultured bacterium. RNAcentral describes it as "partial 16S ribosomal RNA". It matches the Rfam family "Bacterial small subunit ribosomal RNA", at positions 524 to 776 of the family's 1533-position model. The record is from RNAcentral.